RNAcentral lists this ribosomal RNA (307 nucleotides) under uncultured eukaryote. Its description in RNAcentral is "partial 18S ribosomal RNA". It matches the Rfam family "Eukaryotic small subunit ribosomal RNA", at positions 1470 to 1796 of the family's 1831-position model. The record is from RNAcentral.
CCCUUAGACGUUCUGGGCCGCACGCGCGCUACACUGACACAGGCAACGAGCUUUCCUUUACCUAAAGGUAUGGGUAAUCUUUUGAAACUGUGUCGUGCUGGGGAUAGAUCCUUGCAAUUUUUGAUCUUAAACGAGGAAUUCCUAGUAAGCGCGAGUCAUCAACUCGCGUUGAUUACGUCCCUGCCCUUUGUACACACCGCCCGUCGCUACUACCGAUUGAAUGGCUUAGUGAGGCCUCAGGAUCCGCGCUUAAUGUGUGGAGAAUUUGGACAAACUACGUCAUUUAGAGGAAGUAAAAGUCGUAACA